ACCAUCCUGUGACGUGUUUCCAUCAGCAGGGGACGGACGUGCGGAGUUUUCCUGUAAACAUAAGUGCAAAGAAACACGCAAAUGGAGACCUUGCACAUCCAGCUGGACGAUAGACGUACGACACGUGCAAGUUACGCAGUCAUCGGUUAAGAGUGCGACCGAAGAGACGACGCAACAGACGGCAGUACUGGUGACGCGGGAGUGCGGGAGUGAAAGUAACUGCUUCUGGGAUUGUACCGGGAAUCAUCUUUCACCUGUGCUCAUUAACUUGGCAACCCUAAUUAGCAGUCAUGUCGCCGCGCACCUUCCUUCACUACAGGAAAAAAAAAGCGAGCACAGCGCUGCCUCGCUGACGUCUGUGUGCGUGUGCGCACGAGCGUUACUCAUCAGUGCUGCAGAGAGCUGGUGAGAGAGAGAGAGAGAGAGAGAGAGAGAAAGAAAGGGAGGAGGGGAAGAGAAAUCUGCCGUGCUAAGUGCUUUCUCUCUCUCUCUCUCUCUCUCCUUGUCGCGAUGUUGCUGCUGGUCUUAAAUAUUUCAGGACGAUGCUGGAGGAAGAGGAGUUACAAAAGGGAAACAGGGAGGAAGAGAGAUCUGAAGAUAAAGGAAGAGGAACUAAAACAAGGAAAGAGAGGAAGGAGAAAUAACUGGAUCGUCCCAAUUUGUUUACUCGAACACUACAGUACAGGCCGUGGGCUCCGACGGAGAAAAGGGAGUACUCCUGCCCUCACUUCCUAAGGAUCAACCGUACUGCUUGGACAGUUCGGUCUAGAAAGGCUCCUCCAUAGCAAGUAGUACUUUCUCUUCUACCACAUCGAUUGUUCCACACCUGUAUGGGACCACAAAAUGGACCAGACACCUGUAAAACAUCAAUAUUAAUGUUUGGAAUAUAACACGGCACUACUACUAAUACUACGUCCAUAGAACAGCUGGAAAAAAACGCUUUAGAUAGUACAAAGAUAUGGAGAGAGAAACAUGGAUGUGUAUACACACACACACACACACACACACACACACACACACACACACACACACACACACACACACACGUCUAAAACCCAUGAGUCGUCAUCAGGGUGCUGGUGAUAAUGUUUAGUGGUGCGGCUCCUAAGUGCGAGAGUUAAACACAAGUGAUGCCAGUAGCGAGGAAAGGGAUAGGUGUGUGUGUGUGUGUGUGUGUGUGUGUGUGUGUGUGUGUGUGUGUGUGUGUGUGUGUGUGUGUGUAGCCAACACCCUAACUUCAAGGCAGAAAUUACAAAAGUUAGGGGAAUUAUGAUGUCCAGACACUUCUUCCUGGUCGGUGCUCCUGCAGUGUGUUAGGGGUGUUUACUGCCGCUCUGGAAUGCUGCCCGUGGUUGUGACGCUGUUGAUUUUUGUUCCAAUACCGCUACUGAUGAUAACUGACACAUUAUUAUUAUUAUUAUUACUACAUAGUUUAAUGGAAUGAAUCUAGUUUUACUUGGUACUGAAAGUGUUGACUACAAUUUGAUGAUGGAACACUAACUCUGUAUAUUUCUUACAGUGAACUUGCCAGUGCAUAUACGUCGUGCAACACUGCCGCCACUGUGUCCAUAAUAAGUGACUCUCCCUGCCCUCGUCCUGCCCAGUACCAGGUCAGGUCAUCCAUACCUAGUCACUUAGAACUGGAGCAGCAACAUCGUGAAUAGUAGCUACAACCAACACCACCACAAUCACCAUCAAGCUAGUGUGAAUCCAGACAUUGACAUGUAAUGGAGAUUCUCUCUCUCUCUCUCUCUCUCUCUCUCUCUCUCUCUCUCUCUCUCUCUCUCUCUCUCUCUCUCUCUCUCUCUCAGCUCACAGCCCCACAGUAUGUCCCCCCACAGUAUGUUGACUUACCCACAGUCACUUCACCACAGUCCCUCCCAAAUAAAGCCAACCCUCUCUCUCUCUCUCUCUCUCUCUCUCUCUCUCUCUCUCUCUCUCUCUCUCUCUCUCUCUCUCUCUCUCUCUCUCUCUCUCUCUCUCUCUCUCUCUCUCUCUCUCUCAACUCACAGCCCCACAGUAUGUCCCCCCACAGUAUGUUGACUUCUGUCUUAUUGCUACCUUUUUUUAAUGUAUCUUCUCUUUCUCCCCUUUCUGUCGUAUUGCUACCUUUAUUUAAUGUAUAUGU
Long non-coding RNA from Portunus trituberculatus (swimming crab), 2128 nucleotides. RefSeq lists it as uncharacterized. Lineage: Eukaryota; Metazoa; Arthropoda; Malacostraca; Decapoda; Portunidae. The record is from RefSeq and is a predicted model, not a curated record. The transcript has 5 exons.